This 478-nucleotide ribosomal RNA is filed under the name uncultured bacterium. RNAcentral describes it as "partial 16S ribosomal RNA". It matches the Rfam family "Bacterial small subunit ribosomal RNA", at positions 28 to 523 of the family's 1533-position model. The record is from RNAcentral.
GACGAACGCUGGCGGCGUGCUUAACACAUGCAAGUCGAACGGUAAGGCCCUUCGGGGUACACGAGUGGCGAACGGGUGAGUAACACGUGGGUGAUCUGCCCUGCACUUCGGGAUAAGCCUGGGAAACUGGGUCUAAUACCGGAUAGGACCACUGCCUGCAUGGGGGGUGGUGGAAAGCUUUUGCGGUGUGGGAUGGGCCCGCGGCCUAUCAGCCUGUUGGUGGGGUGAUGGCCUACCAAGGCGACGACGGGUAGCCGGCCUGAGAGGGUGACCGGCCACACUGGGACUGAGAUCCGGCCCAGACUCCUACGGGAGGCAGCAGUGGGGAAUAUUGCACAAUGGGCGCAAGCCUGAUGCAGCGACGCCGCGUGAGGGAUGACGGCCUUCGGGUUGUAAACCUCUUUCAGCACCGACGAAGCGCAAGUGACGGUAGGUGCAGAAGAAGGACCGGCCAACUACGUGCCAGCCGCCGCCGUAA